Molecule: non-coding RNA, 99 nt
Organism: Pelobates cultripes (western spadefoot toad)
Lineage: Eukaryota; Metazoa; Chordata; Amphibia; Anura; Pelobatidae
Source: the annotation of a GenBank genome assembly
UACACACACUGCAUUAUAUAAACACACUACACAAGCACUGUGUAGAUAAUGAAUGCAGUGUUUGUGUAGUGUGUGUACAGUGAAUGCAGUGUGUUUGUG